Molecule: ribosomal RNA, 235 nt
Filed under: uncultured bacterium
Lineage: Bacteria
Description: partial 16S ribosomal RNA
Rfam family: Bacterial small subunit ribosomal RNA
Source: RNAcentral
UGGCGGACGGGUGAGUAAUGUCUGGGAAACUGCCUGAUGGAGGGGGAUAACUACUGGAAACGGUAGCUAAUACCGCAUAACGUCGCAAGACCAAAGAGGGGGACCUUAGGGCCUCUUGCCAUCGGAUGUGCCCAGAUGGGAUUAGCUAGUAGGUGGGGUAACGGCUCACCUAGGCGACGGUCCCUAGCUGGUCUGAGAGGAUGACCAGCCACACUGGAACUGAGACACGGUCCAG